UUUGGAUAUGAACUCAACUCAUUGCCAAUCAGAAAAUCUUUGAAUCUGCCUAUGACCUGAAAGCUCCUGCUUCCAGUUGUCCUGCCUUUCUGGACCAAACCAAGGAGGCUUCUCUCCCACAAGACCCCCCAACUAAGACGGAGCAAGAGAAAACAAAGAAAAACAGAGAUGAAUGAAUAAGAAGCAGAGGAAAUGCUGAAGAGAAAUAGAUUGAGAGCAGAACACAAUGGAUUAAAGGAUUCUGGACCCAGGCUAAGAGAAGGAUGCUUAUUUAUGGGACACCUGUAUCAAAUCAACAGCCAGUUGGCCAGGCAUGGUGGCUCACACCUGUAAUCCGAGUACUUUGGGAGGCUGAGGCUGGCGGAUCACUUAAGGUCAGGAGUUCAAGACCAGCAUGGCCAAUAUGGUGAAAUCCUGUAUCUACUAAAAAAACCAAAAAAAUCAGCUGGGUGUGGUGGCGGGCACCUGUAGUCCCAGCUACUUGGGAGGCUGAGGCAGGAGAAUUGCUUGAACCUGGCAGGCGGAGGUUGCAGUGAGCAGAGAUGGCAUCACUGAACUCCACCCUGGGUGACAGAGUGAGACGUUGUCUGAAAACAAACAAAGAAACAAACAAAGAUACCUGAGGAACCGGUGUGGAGAAGAUGAAACGUCUGAACUUGGGCGUGGAUUGAGGAGGAGCUGAAGAUGGCAGGAACUGGCUCACCUGGGGUUUACUUUAGGGAAAUAUGAGUUGGGAAGCUCUUCUAAGGAUUCUUGUCCCUGGAACCCAGCCACCGUGCUAUGAAGGAAGCCCCCAGGCAACAAGGAGAUGCCACGUGGACAUCUUCCAGCCAGAAGCUCCAGCUGAGGUCUCAGCCAGGAGCCAGCAUCAGUUACCAGACAUAUGAGUGAACAG
Pan troglodytes (chimpanzee) is the source of this 895-nucleotide long non-coding RNA. RefSeq lists it as uncharacterized. The transcript is spliced from 4 exons. Lineage: Eukaryota; Metazoa; Chordata; Mammalia; Primates; Hominidae. The record is from RefSeq and is a predicted model, not a curated record.